GUCAUCCUUCUUCUUAUUCACAUUUUUUUACAACUAUUCUUCUUCUUUUUUGAAAAAAAUUUUUUCAAUUCCCUGUGAAAAAAUUUUCCGGUACCUUGGGGGGUGUGUAACGUUUCAAUUAGCCGAUUGAACGCUACACCAAGCUCCGCUUGGUAUUUGUCCCUCGGACUAUAUAUUUCUAGGAGCGACCCUACUACCGUCAAGUCAAUUAGUACAUCUCUUCGAAGCUAUUUAAUGCGAUAAAAAUUUGUACUAGCUCCCUUUUGCCAUUGCCACGUAAAUCAGGCACAAUAUUGGCAUACAUUAUCGUGUUUGUGUGUAGGCCGUUAAACAAUGGCCCCUACCUCGGGAAGAAGAUUUUAAUCAAGCACCUGGAAAAGAAAACCUUCUACCGCUACCUUGGAGAGCGAAUUAGCUUACAACCGUAUCCUGAUGCAGUAGAAUAAAUUAAACAAGACAGAGACAAGACAGCCCAACAACGUAGCCCUAGACUUCCCUUAACUACCGGCGACGACAAAUUCUACAGGGAUUGGGGACCUCCUUUAGGAACUGUAACGGAAGGACUUAAAGCUGAGUAAAUUUUUACCUUUAUAACUUUUGUACCGAUUACCAGCGGGGUCUCGGUCACGGGCUUAGAAAAUUAACUUGUUAUCAGUAUACAAUAAAAAUGAUUUUUGUUAA
This 681-nucleotide long non-coding RNA is filed under the name Diabrotica virgifera virgifera (western corn rootworm). Its description in RNAcentral is "uncharacterized LOC114341770". The record is from RNAcentral. Lineage: Eukaryota; Metazoa; Arthropoda; Insecta; Coleoptera; Chrysomelidae.